UAGGGAAUUUUCGUCAAUGGGCGCAAGCCUGAACGAGCAAUGCCGCGUGAACGAGGAAGGUCUUCGGAUCGUAAAGUUCUGUUGAAGGGGAAAAAGAGCGGAGAGAGGAAAUGGUCUCUGAUUGAUAUUACCCUUCGAGGAAGUCACGGCUAACUACGUGCCAGCAGCCGCGGUAAUACGUAGGUGGCGAGCGUUAUCCGGAAUGAUUGGGCGUAAAGGGUGCGUAGGCGGCCUGCUAAGUCUGGAGUGAAAGGUACCGGCUCAACCGGUACAGGCUCUGGAAACUGGCGGGCUAGAGAGCAGGAGAGGGCGGUGGAACUCCAUGUGUAGCGGUAAAAUGCGUAGAUAUAUGGAAGAACACCAGUGGCGAAGGCGGCCGCCUGGCCUGUUGACUGACGCUGAGGCACGAAAGCGUGGGGAGCAAAUAGG
RNAcentral lists this ribosomal RNA (429 nucleotides) under Bacillota bacterium. RNAcentral describes it as "Firmicutes bacterium partial 16S ribosomal RNA". It matches the Rfam family "Bacterial small subunit ribosomal RNA", at positions 355 to 776 of the family's 1533-position model. The record is from RNAcentral. Lineage: Bacteria; Bacillati; Bacillota.